This 120-nucleotide ribosomal RNA is filed under the name Helianthus annuus (common sunflower). Lineage: Eukaryota; Viridiplantae; Streptophyta; Magnoliopsida; Asterales; Asteraceae. The record is from RNAcentral.
GGUUGCGAUCAUACCAGCACUAAUGCACCGGAUACCAUCAGAACUCCGCAGUUAAGCGUGCUUGGGCGAGAGUAGUACUAGGAUGGGUGACCCCCUGGGAAGUCCUCGUGUUGCAACCCC